This is a small nuclear RNA of Spermophilus dauricus (Daurian ground squirrel), 98 nucleotides long. Lineage: Eukaryota; Metazoa; Chordata; Mammalia; Rodentia; Sciuridae. The record is from Ensembl.
GUGCUCACUUCAGCAGCACAGAUACUAAAACUGGAAUGACACAGGGAAUACUAGCAUGGCCCCUGCUCAAGGAUGACAUUCCAUUUUUUUUUUUUUUU